Molecule: ribosomal RNA, 816 nt
Filed under: Borreliella garinii
Lineage: Bacteria; Pseudomonadati; Spirochaetota; Spirochaetia; Spirochaetales; Borreliaceae
Description: bacterial SSU rRNA
Rfam family: Bacterial small subunit ribosomal RNA
Source: RNAcentral
GCGUCUUAAGCAUGCAAGUCAAACGGGAUGUAGGAAUACAUCUAGUGGCGAACGGGUGAGUAACGCGUGGAUGAUCUACCUACGAGAUGGGGAUAACUAUUAGAAAUAGUAGCUAAUACCGAAUAAAGUCAAUUAAUUUGUUAAUUGAUGAAAGGAAGCCUUUAAAGCUUCGCUUGUAGAUGAGUCUGCGUCUUAUUAGUUAGUUGGUAGGGUAAAUGCCUACCAAGACGAUGAUAAGUAACCGGCCUGAGAGGGUGAACGGUCACACUGGAACUGAGAUACGGUCCAGACUCCUACGGGAGGCAGCAGCUAAGAAUCUUCCGCAAUGGGCGAAAGCCUGACGGAGCGACACUGCGUGAAUGAAGAAGGUCGAAAGAUUGUAAAAUUCUUUUAUAAAUGAGGAAUAAGCUUUGUAGGAAAUGACGAAGUGAUGACGUUAAUUUAUGAAUAAGCCCCGGCUAAUUACGUGCCAGCAGCCGCGGUAAUACGUAAGGGGCGAGCGUUGUUCGGGAUUAUUGGGCGUAAAGGGUGAGUAGGCGGAUGUAUAAGUCUAUGCAUAAAAUACCACAGCUCAACUGUGGAACUAUGUUGGAAACUGUAUGUCUAGAGUCUGAUAGAGGAAGUUAGAAUUUCUGGUGUAAGGGUGGAAUCUGUUGAUAUCAGAAAGAAUACCGGAGGCGAAGGCGAACUUCUGGGUCAAGACUGACGCUGAGUCACGAAAGCGUAGGGAGCAAACAGGAUUAGAUACCCUGGUAGUCUACGCUGUAAACGAUGCACACUUGGUGUUAACUAAAAGUUAGUACCGAAGCUAACGUG